ACCAGACUCCUACGGGAGGCAGCAGUGGGGAAUAUUGCACAAUGGGGGAAACCCUGAUGCAGCGACGCCGCGUGAGUGAAGAAGUAAUUCGUUAUGUAAAGCUCUAUCAGCAGGGAAGAAAAUGACGGUACCUGACUAAGAAGCCCCGGCUAACUACGUGCCAGCAGCCGCGGUAAUACGUAGGGGGCAAGCGUUAUCCGGAUUUACUGGGUGUAAAGGGAGCGUAGACGGCGAUGCAAGCCAGAUGUGAAAGCCCGGGGCUCAACCCCGGGACUGCAUUUGGAACUGUGUGGCUGGAGUGCCGGAGGGGCAAGUGGAAUUCCUAGUGUAGCGGUGAAAUGCGUAGAUAUUAGGAGGAACACCAGUGGCGAAGGCGGCUUGCUGGACGAUGACUGACGUUGAGGCUCGAAAGCGUGGGGAGCAAACAGGAUUAGAUACCCGCGUA
Molecule: ribosomal RNA, 445 nt
Filed under: uncultured bacterium
Lineage: Bacteria
Description: bacterial SSU rRNA
Rfam family: Bacterial small subunit ribosomal RNA
Source: RNAcentral